CGUUUCCACCACGUCUUCUAUAUUCACGGUGCAUUCUCCGCAUGGCAUUCUCCUACUUUUACUCUGAGAUCCUCGACCACGCCUCUUUUACUUGGCUACCCGAUGAUUACUUCGUGAUUUUUUUGCAUAACUCUCCAUUCUCCAUCUAUAAAAAAUUGUUUAUCAUCUACUAUAAGGGGGUAAUUAUUCUCUCACUCUUUGAACUUGCCAAUUAUUAUCUGCUUUGUUUUAUCUAGGUUAUUCACUUCGGCCUCAUCUCCAUGCUGGAGGGGUUGGUAACGGCCCCACUCUGCCCGGUAAAAUUUGCUCCC
Molecule: long non-coding RNA, 311 nt
Filed under: Actinidia chinensis (golden kiwifruit)
Lineage: Eukaryota; Viridiplantae; Streptophyta; Magnoliopsida; Ericales; Actinidiaceae
Description: long non-coding RNA (ACHI_LNC000361)
Source: RNAcentral